Molecule: ribosomal RNA, 482 nt
Filed under: uncultured bacterium
Lineage: Bacteria
Description: partial 16S ribosomal RNA
Rfam family: Bacterial small subunit ribosomal RNA
Source: RNAcentral
AUUGAACGCUGGCGGCAUGCUUUACACAUGCAAGUCGAACGGUAACAGGCCGCAAGGUGCUGACGAGUGGCGAACGGGUGAGUAAUGCAUCGGAACGUGCCCAGUCGUGGGGGAUAACUACUCGAAAGAGUAGCUAAUACCGCAUACGAUCUAUGGAUGAAAGCGGGGGACCGUAAGGCCUCGCGCGAUUGGAGCGGCCGAUGUCGGAUUAGGUAGUUGGUGGGGUAAAGGCUCACCAAGCCAACGAUCUGUAGCUGGUCUGAGAGGACGACCAGCCACACUGGAACUGAGACACGGCCCAGACUCCUACGGGAGGCAGCAGUGGGGAAUUUUGGACAAUGGGCGCAAGCCUGAUCCAGCAAUGCCGCGUGCAGGAAGAAGGCCUUCGGGUUGUAAACUGCUUUUGUACGGAACGAAACGGCUCUGGUUAAUACCCGGGGCUAAUGACGGUACCGUAAGAAUAAGCACCGGCUAACUACGUG